AUGGUUGACCAGGCGUCUCUGGAAGAGGGGGAGCUUGGGGAUGAGGCCAUGAUGGCCCUGGACCAGAACCUGGCCGGCCUAUUUAAAGAGCAGAAGAUGCCCAUCCAGGCCCAGAAUAAGGAGAAAAACAAGUUGCAGAAGGAGAAGAAGCUCCAACGGGACUUCCAGAUCAGGGCACUAGACCUGAUCGAGGUGCUGGUGACCAAGCAGUCUGAGCACCCCCUGAUCCUGGAACUACUUGAGCCACUGCUGAACAUGAUCCAGCACAGCAUGCGCAGCAAAGGCUCCACCAAGCAGGAGCAGGACCCCUGCACAAGACCGCCUGCAUCUUCAUGCACCACCUAUGUCGUGCCCACCGCUCCUGCCACGAGGUGGGGCCGUGUGCAGAGGUCUGCAUGCCCAGGUGGAGAGGCUUGUGCAGCAGGCUGGCAGCCAGGCUGAUGCCUCUGUCACCCUGUACUACUUCAAUGCCUCUCUGUACCUGCUGCGAGUCCUCAAGGGCAACACCACUAAGAGGCACCAAGAUGGUCAGAAGUUACACGGAGCUGACACCGGGCCUGAGCCCAAGGACUCAGAGGACCAGACUGCUAACUGCUUAGACUUGGAUUUUGUGACCCGGGUGUAUUCAGCAUCAUUGGAAUCUCUUCUGACCAAGCGUAACAGCUCACUUAUGGUCCCCAUGUUCCUCAGCCUCUUCUCCAGAUACCCAGUGAUCUGUAAGAACCUGCUUCCCAUUCUGGUUCAGCAUAUGACUGGCCCAUCUUGGCCCCGCCAUCAGGCUUAGGGGUGCCUGAUGCUCCAGAAGACUCUGUCUGCACAGGAGCUAAGAGUCUGUUUUGAGGAUCCUGAGUGGGAGCAGCUGAUUACCCAACUCUUGGGAAAGGCCACCCAGACCCUUCAGACUCUUGGGGAGGCACAGAGCAAGGGGGAGCACCAGAGGGAGCUAUCCAUCUUGGAGCUGCUGAACACUGUCUUCAGGACAGUCAAUCACGAGAAGCUGUCUGUGGACCUCACUGCUCCCUUGGGCGUGCUUCAGAGCAAGCAACAGAAGCUGCAGCAAAGCCUGCAGCAGAGAAAUCACUCGUUUGGCUCCAAUCGCCUCUAUGAUCUCUACUGGCAGGCCAUGAGGAUGCUAGGAGUCCAAUGCCCAAAGUCAGAAAAGAAGAAUGCCAAGGAUAUUCCUAGUGACACCCAGAGCCCCGUUAGCACAAAGCAGAAGAAGAAGGGAUUCUUGCCAGAGACCAAGAAGCAAAAGAAACUUAAAUUUGAGCACACCACACCAGAAAAGAAUGUUGUGUCACAGCAGGAUGCAGUGACAGAUGGUGCCAUGCCUGCUGCCACUGGUAAAGACCAGCCCCCCAGCAGAGGCAAGAAGAAAAGGAAGAGGGUAAAGGCUACCACCUCAUCCCAGGUGAAUGGGAUAACUGUGGCCAAGAGUCCAGCUCCCAGUAAUCCUACCCUAAGCCCCAGCACCCCUGCCAAGACCCCAAAAACUGCAGAAGAAAAAUGAGAAGCUGUCACAGGUGAAUAGAGCCACUCCUGUGUCCCCCAUAGAGCCUGAAAGCAAAAAGCAUCAUCAGGAGGCUCAUGGCACAAAGGAGGUCAUAAGAAAGUCCCCCCAGUCUGCCCUGCCAAAGAAAAGAGCAAGGCUGUCUCUGGUGAGCAGGAGCCCCAGCCUGUUAAAGAGUGGGGUAAAGAAAAGGAGAGUGGCCAGCAGAGAGUGCAGACACCUUGAGAGUGUGUGGUCUUGUUUCCCUGCCCUAGAGACUCCUAUUUUUUCACCAACAUUUUAA
Molecule: non-coding RNA, 1793 nt
Organism: Mus caroli (Ryukyu mouse)
Lineage: Eukaryota; Metazoa; Chordata; Mammalia; Rodentia; Muridae
Source: RefSeq, a predicted model, not a curated record